RNAcentral lists this transfer RNA (121 nucleotides) under Penicillium subrubescens. It matches the Rfam family "tRNA". From Rfam's summary of the family: Transfer RNA (tRNA) molecules are approximately 80 nucleotides in length. Their secondary structure includes four short double-helical elements and three loops (D, anti-codon, and T loops). Further hydrogen bonds mediate the characteristic L-shaped molecular structure. tRNAs have two regions of fundamental functional importance: the anti-codon, which is responsible for specific mRNA codon recognition, and the 3' end, to which the tRNAs corresponding amino acid is attached (by aminoacyl-tRNA synthetases). tRNAs cope with the degeneracy of the genetic code in two manners: having more than one tRNA (with a specific anti-codon) for a particular amino acid; and 'wobble' base-pairing, i.e. permitting non-standard base-pairing at the 3rd anti-codon position. Lineage: Eukaryota; Fungi; Ascomycota; Eurotiomycetes; Eurotiales; Aspergillaceae. The record is from Rfam by way of RNAcentral.
GGCACUCUGGCCGAGCGGUCUAAGGCGUCAGACUCAAGCUUAAUCACUUCCUCCAAGAUUUCACUUGGUGGUGUAUUCUGAUCUUCGUACGAAGGCAUGGGUUCGAAUCCCAUGGGUGUCA